GAUGAACGCUGGCGGCGUGCUUAACACAUGCAAGUCGAACGGAAAGGCCUGUGCUUGCCGGGGUCCUCGAGUGGCGAACGGGUGAGUAACACGUGGGUGAUCUGCCCUGCACUUUGGGAUAAGCCUUGGAAACUGCGUCUAAUACCGGAUAGGACAAUGGCUUGGAUGCUGUUGUGGAAAGUUUUUCGGUGUGGGCUGAGCUUGCGGCCUAUCAGCUUGUUGUUGGGGUAAUGGCCUACCAAGCGGUCGACGGGAAGACGGCCUGUGAGGGUGUACGGCCAAAUUGAGAAGGAGAUAUAGACCACACAGCAGCAAGAGGCACGAGGGGCGAAUGUUGAACAAUGGGGCCAAGCCUGAUGCAAGGACGACGCGUGGGGGAUGAAGGCCUUCCGGUUGUAAGCUCCUGUCGAUAGGGAGGAAGCGUUGUUGGGACGGUGCCGGGGGAGAAAGCCGCGGCUAACUACGUG
Molecule: ribosomal RNA, 467 nt
Filed under: uncultured bacterium
Lineage: Bacteria
Description: partial 16S ribosomal RNA
Rfam family: Bacterial small subunit ribosomal RNA
Source: RNAcentral